UUUUAAAUGGCCGCAGUAUUUUGACUGUGCAAAGGUAGCAUAAUCAAUAGUUUUUUAAUUAAAAGCUUGUAUGAAAGGCUGGACGAGGUAAGAUCUGUCUCUAUUUAAAUUAAUAUAGAAUUUAACUUUUAAGUUAAAAGGCUUAAAUAUAGUUAAAAGACGAGAAGACCCUAUAGAUCUUUAUAAUUUGUUAAUUAAAGUUGAUUUAGAAAUAUUAAUGUUUUAUUUAAUUAAAUUAUUUUAUUGGGGUAAUAGAAAGAUUGAAUUAAUUCUUUUUUGUAAUAAACAUUAAUUUAUGAAUGUUAGAUGAUCCAGUUUUACUGAUUAUAAGAUUAAGUUACCUUAGGGAUAACAGCGUAAUUUUUUUAGAGAGUUCAUAUCGAUAAAAAAGCUUGCGACCUCGAUGUUGGAUUAAAGAUUAUUUUAGGUGUAGAAGCUUAAUAAUUUUGGUCUGUUCGACCAUUAAAUCUUUACAUGAUCUGAGUUCAGACCGGCGUAAGCCAGGUCGGUUUCUAUCUUUAAUACAAUAGAAUAUUUUAGUACGAAAGGACCAAAUAUUUGAUAUAUUUAUAUUUGAUUAAUUGAAUAUUA
This 591-nucleotide ribosomal RNA is filed under the name Carabus nemoralis. RNAcentral describes it as "LSU rRNA". It matches the Rfam family "Bacterial large subunit ribosomal RNA", at positions 1921 to 2758 of the family's 2925-position model. The record is from RNAcentral. Lineage: Eukaryota; Metazoa; Arthropoda; Insecta; Coleoptera; Carabidae.